CAGCAGCCGCGGUAAUUCGUAGGUGGCAAGCGUUGUCCGGAAUUAUUGGGCGUAAAGCGCGCGCAGGCGGUUCCUUAAGUCUGAUGUGAAAGCCCACGGCUCAACCGUGGAGGGUCAUUGGAAACUGGGGGACUUGAGUGCAGAAGAGGAGAGCGGAAUUCCACGUGUAGCGGUGAAAUGCGUAGAGAUGUGGAGGAACACCAGUGGCGAAGGCGGCUCUCUGGUCUGUAACUGACGCUGAGGCGCGAAAGCGUGGGGAGCAAACAGGAUUAGAUACCCGGGUAGUCCACGCCGUAAACGAUGAGUGCUAAGUGUUAGAGGGUAUCCACCCUUUAGUGCUGUAGCUAACGCAUUAAGCACUCCGCCUGGGGAGUACGCUCGCAAGAGUGAAACUUAAAGGAAUUGGCGGG
Molecule: ribosomal RNA, 410 nt
Filed under: uncultured microorganism
Description: bacterial SSU rRNA
Rfam family: Bacterial small subunit ribosomal RNA
Source: RNAcentral